Molecule: ribosomal RNA, 503 nt
Filed under: uncultured bacterium
Lineage: Bacteria
Description: partial 16S ribosomal RNA
Rfam family: Bacterial small subunit ribosomal RNA
Source: RNAcentral
GAUGAACACUAGCGAUAGGCCUAACACAUGCAAGUCGAGGGGCAGCAUAGAGUAGCAAUACUUUGAUGGCGACCGGCGCACGGGUGAGUAACACGUAUGCAACCUACCUACAUCAGGGGAAUAACCCGGAGAAAUUCGGACUAAUACCGCAUAAUACAGGGAUGCCGCAUGGCAAUAUUUGUUAAAGAUUUAUCGGAUGUAGAUGGGCAUGCGUUCCAUUAGCUAGUUGGUAAGGUAACGGCUUACCAAGGCAACGAUGGAUAGGGGAACUGAAAGGUUUGUCCCCCACACUGGAACUGAGACACGGACCAGACUCCUACGGGAGGCAGCAGUGAGGAAUAUUGGUCAAUGGACGAGAGUCUGAACCAGCCAAAUCGCGUGAAGGAAGACUGCCCUACGGGUUGUAAACUUCUUUUGUACAGGAAUAAAAGACAUUACGUGUAAUGUAUUGCGUGUACUGUACGAAUAAGCAUCGGCUAACUCCGUGCCAGCCGCCGCGGUAA